AUUGAACGCUGGCGGCAGGCCUAACACAUGCAAGUCGAGCGGUAGAGAGAAGCUUGCUUCUCUUGAGAGCGGCGGACGGGUGAGUAAUGCCUAGGAAUCUGCCUGGUAGUGGGGGAUAACGUUCGGAAACGAACGCUAAUACCGCAUACGUCCUACGGGAGAAAGCGGGGGAUCUUCGGACCUCGCGCCAUUAGAUGAGCCUAGGUCGGAUUAGCUAGUUGGUGAGGUAAUGGCUCACCAAGGCGACGAUCCGUAACUGGUCUGAGAGGACGACCAGCCACACUGGGACUGAGACACGGCCCAGACUCCUACGGGAGGCAGCAGUGGGGAAUUUUGGACAAUGGGCGCAAGCCUGAUCCAGCAAUGCCGCGUGCAGGAUGAAGGCCUUCGGGUUGU
RNAcentral lists this ribosomal RNA (396 nucleotides) under uncultured bacterium. RNAcentral describes it as "bacterial SSU rRNA". It matches the Rfam family "Bacterial small subunit ribosomal RNA", at positions 30 to 426 of the family's 1533-position model. The record is from RNAcentral.